This is a non-coding RNA of Lonchura striata (white-rumped munia), 3287 nucleotides long. The record is from RefSeq and is a predicted model, not a curated record. NCBI's taxonomy places the organism in Eukaryota, Metazoa, Chordata, Aves, Passeriformes, Estrildidae.
CAGGUGUUCCUGAACCCGGCUGGGGCAGGCACACGCCUGUGUGUGGGCACAUGAAAGCAGGAAGAACACCGGGCUGAGGAAAACUUAGAAUCGUAGAAUUAUAAAAUACGCUGAGUUUCAAGGCCCCCACAAGGAUCACCGAAAUCCCAUUCCUGGCCCUGCACAGAGCAGCUCUAAGAAUCGGACCAUUGAGAGCGUUGUCCAAAAACUCCUUGAGCUUGUCAUGCUUGGGGCCGUGACCCUAUCCCUGGGGAGUCUGUUCCGGUGACCAUGACCUCUGGCUGAAGAGCCUUCAAUAUCCAGCCUAAACUUCCCCUGACACAGCUUCACCCUGUUCCCUCGGGUGCUGUCAUUGGUCACCAGAGGGCAGAGAUCAGCGUUGUAAAAAACUUGGAUACUUACUUGCUAGUUCCCUCCGUGAAAUACUUUAACAGAGUAUCAGUGGUAGAAAAAUUAAAACAGAAAAAGAUAUCUCACGAUUUAUGCUCAUGGUAAGAGUUAAAGGUCUUGUAGUGCAUUUGUAAGUAAAAGUAAAUUGUAAAUGUAUGCCAUUGUUUGUGGUCACAGUAAACAAAUGUGCUUUAUUUCUGAACUUGCUACGCUUGCACGCUUUAAGGUUCCGAGGCGUUUGGGCAUUCAUUCCGAGUUGAGACGUUCUUCAGCAGCUCUGCGGCGGUGCUGCUCACACCUUGUGUCUGUGUUCCACAGGGCCCGGGUUUCCGUCCCCCCGCGCACUCGCACAGCGACUGGAUCGGCCCCCCGGACAAGCUCUCCAACCUGCGCCCCAUCAUCUUCUACGUGCCCCCCGAGGAGUCGGCGCUGGAGCGGCGGCUGCGGGAGGCGCGCCAGGAGGCCCAGGCCAGCAACCAGCGCUUCUGGGCACGGCACAACCGCGCCUUCCACCAGGAAAAAGAAGAAUUUAUUUAUUCAAGACUGAAAGCCAAGGGUCUGGAAAUGAGAGAUGAAUCAGGUCAAAAAGCAACACUGAAUGCAGAAGAAAUGGCUGACUUUUACAAGGACUUUCUAAGUAAAAAUUUAAAAAAGCAUUUGCAGUACAACAGAGAUUGGUAUAAACAUAACUUUAGGAUCACAUUCCUCAUGGGACAAGUAGCACUGGUGAGAGCUCUGAGGUGGCUUCGUCGGAGAAAGAAAAAUGCAGAACAGUAAUCACAGCUCCAUGGAGAAUGCAACACUAUGCUGUAAACUUGUGGUUUAUAGUAAUAUUCAAAAUCUGAAUGAUUGAUGCAAUAAUUACUUGAAUUUGUUUGUUAAACUAUGUAAAUAAAAGUCAAUACUUAAUUUAUAAUCACUGUGUACAUUUCCUUUACCCUUUACUCCAAGAAUAUUUAAAAUAUUUCUCACUGAAACACAAUGAAGAAAAGCUGUUCCUUGUUCAUGUCAGAUGGAAUGGGUAAUGAGUGUCCUGUUUUUACUAUAGAGUUAUGGCUGCUAAAUAAUGUGGGAUUGUGUGCUGCAGCUGAACUCUGGUCUCAGAAUCAUGUCUCCAUUAACUAUAUUAGUAUAUAAAGACAAAAAUACCUUUUUUUGCAACAGCUGCCAGUCUGGGGCAGUAGCUAUCUGUAAGUAAUACAAUAUGGAUGAAGGAACAAGUUUUAUUUGAGAGUGUAUGUACAAUCAGUUUAGAACAAUCCUUUCUUCAGUGUGAUUAUCUGCUAUUUUUUUGAUAAAGAUUUAAGAUACAGGUUCAUAUAAAGUGCUAAUACAAUAGGAGCUUCUUGGAUUGUUUUUUUUUUAAUUAAGAGAAAUGUGCCUCCCUUGGACAAUAGCUCCUCUGAUCCAUGACUGUAAAUGUUUUGGUUGCUGAACAAUUUACAAAUGUGCUGCCUGUCAUUUAAUCUUGAUAGAAGAUGAAACUGGUAAUUCCUGUAUGAAGAAUGACACAAGUAUGCAGUGUUCUCUCCUGGUUCAUUUCUUCCAAAAAAUGUGCUGUUCUCACCAGCUUCUCCAAGGCACUGAAAACAACUUGCCUGAGGGUUGUUUUUGUGGCUUCCAGUGUUCAUCGCCCAGAAACAAUAUCAGCAUACACUGGACCAUGCUAGCAUGUGAGCUGCUUUGUCUUUUAAAUACCUCCAGGGACAGUGACUCAACCACCUCCCUGAGCAGCCUGUUCGGCUGCCUGACAACCCUUCUGGUGAUGAAAUUUUUCCUAAUAUCUCAUCUCAACUUCCCCUGGCGCAACUCCAGCCAUUUCCUCUCCUGUUGCUUGUGACCUGGGAGAAGAGCACCAACUCUCACCUCUCCACAGCCUCCUCUGGGGUAGUUGCAGGGAGCAGUAACACUCCAGCAGUAACCUCCCUGUCCUUCCUGAACUGAGGGGCCCAGAACUGGACACACAGCUGAGGUGUGGCCUCACCAGUGCUGAGUACAGGGCAAUGGUCACUGCCCUGGUCCUGCUGGCCACACUGUUGCUGACACAGGCCAGGAUGCUGCUGGCCGUGGCCACCUGGGCACACUCUUGCCUCAUGUCGGACACUACUACAUGACAGGACCUCUGCUUGUCCUCGUUGACCCUCACACCAUUGGCUUUGGCCCAUCAAUCUAGCCUGUUCAGAGCCCUCCUGCCCUCCAGCAGAUCACACUCCUGCCCAGCUUGGUGUCUUCUGCAGACUGAGGGUGUCCUUGAUUCCCUCAUCCUGGUCAUUGAUAAAGACAUUCAACAGAACUGGCCCCAACACUGCACCCUAGGGAACACUGCUUGUGACUGGAUGCUCAGUGGAGGCAGCACCAUCCACCAGCACUCUGGGCUCAGCCAUGCAGACAGUUUUUAACAGUGAAGAGUGCACCCAUCCAAGCCAUGGGUAGCCAGUUUCUCCAGGAGAAUACUGUGGAAAACACUCAAAGCUUUACUGAAGUCUAGAAGACAACAUCCACAGCCUUCCCCUCAUCCUCUCUGCAGACCACCUUGUCACAGAAGGACAUUGGGUCAGUCAAGCAGGACCUUCCAUGUGAUCAUUCUCAGGCACUUCUGUGGUUUCCAACACAUCAAUAUCCCUUGUGUCACUGCUGCCACAUGGAUCUCCAUCCCCAGUCUCCAUGAGACAACAGAUGGAAGGACCUCCCUAGCACACCAUCCCUCAGACACGGCUGUGUUGCCCCCAGGCUAUCUCCAGGCCUGGCUUUAUCCUUUUCCCCCUUCAAAUUCAUUAGGAUUCUGUGUGGAGUGCUGAGUCCCUUCAUCUAAAACCUAUUGAGGGAGUGAGAUAUUUAUCUAUUAGGCAACUGUUGAGAUUUGAUUUAAAUAAAGUAUUUAAUAGAACCACUGUGAA